Molecule: transfer RNA, 76 nt
Filed under: Nippostrongylus brasiliensis
Lineage: Eukaryota; Metazoa; Nematoda; Chromadorea; Rhabditida; Heligmosomidae
Rfam family: tRNA
About the family: Transfer RNA (tRNA) molecules are approximately 80 nucleotides in length. Their secondary structure includes four short double-helical elements and three loops (D, anti-codon, and T loops). Further hydrogen bonds mediate the characteristic L-shaped molecular structure. tRNAs have two regions of fundamental functional importance: the anti-codon, which is responsible for specific mRNA codon recognition, and the 3' end, to which the tRNAs corresponding amino acid is attached (by aminoacyl-tRNA synthetases). tRNAs cope with the degeneracy of the genetic code in two manners: having more than one tRNA (with a specific anti-codon) for a particular amino acid; and 'wobble' base-pairing, i.e. permitting non-standard base-pairing at the 3rd anti-codon position.
Source: Rfam by way of RNAcentral
GACUCGAUAGUGUAGUAGCUUAGCAUCUGAGUGCAAGGAUAGACCCGAGGCGCGAGUUCGAAUCCCGCUUGAGUCG